This 512-nucleotide ribosomal RNA is filed under the name uncultured bacterium. Its description in RNAcentral is "partial 16S ribosomal RNA". It matches the Rfam family "Bacterial small subunit ribosomal RNA", at positions 30 to 507 of the family's 1533-position model. The record is from RNAcentral.
ACGAACGCUGGCGGCGUGCUUAACACAUGCAAGUCGCACGAAAAGAGGGAAAGAGCUUGCUCUUUCCGGAAUUGAGUGGCAAACGGGUGAGUAACACGUAAACAACCUGCCUUCAGGAUGGGGACAACAGACGGAAACGACUGCUAAUACCGAAUAAGUUCCAAGGGCCGCAUGGCCCAUGGAAGAAAAGGUGGCCUCUACCUGUAAGCUAUCGCCUGAAGAGGGGUUUGCGUCUGAUUAGCUGGUUGGAGGGGUAACGGCCCACCAAGGCGACGAUCAGUAGCCGGUCUGAGAGGAUGAACGGCCACACUGGAAUUGAGACACGGUCCAGACUCCUACGGGAGGCAGCAGUGGGGAAUCUUCCGCAAUGGGCGAAAGCCUGACGGAGCAACGCCGCGUGAGUGAUGACGGCCUUCGGGUUGUAAAACUCUGUGAUCCGGGACGAAAAGGCAGAGUGCGAAGAACAAACUGCAUUGACGGUACCGGAAAAGCAAGCCACGGCUAACUACGUG